Molecule: ribosomal RNA, 628 nt
Filed under: uncultured fungus
Lineage: Eukaryota; Fungi
Description: eukaryotic LSU rRNA
Rfam family: Eukaryotic large subunit ribosomal RNA
Source: RNAcentral
CCCGCUGAACUUAAGCAUAUCAAUAAGCGGAGGAAAAGAAACCAACCGGGAUUGCCUCAGUAACGGCGAGUGAAGUGGCAAGAGCUCAAAUUUGAAAUCUGGCCCUCUGGCAGGGCUCGAGUUGUAAUUUGGAGAGGAUGCUUCGGGCUUCGUCCCGGCGUAAGUGCCCUGGAACGGGUCGUCAGAGAGGGUGAGAAUCCCGUCUGCGGCCGGUGGCGAUGCCUGUGUGAAGCUCCUUCGACGAGUCGAGUUGUUUGGGAAUGCAGCUCUAAGUGGGUGGUAAAUUCCAUCUAAAGCUAAAUAUGGGCCGGAGACCGAUAGCGCACAAGUAGAGUGAUCGAAAGAUGAAAAGCACUUUGAAAAGAGAGUCAAAUAGUACGUGAAAUUGUUGAAAGGGAAGCGCUUGCGAUCAGACUCACCGGGGGGGGCUCAGCCGGCACGUGUGUCGGUGCAUUUCUGCCCCGGUGGGCCAGUGUCGGUCCGGGUGGCCUGUCAAAGACCCUUGGAAGGUAGCGCCCCUUUGGGGCGCCUUAUAGCCAAGGGUGCCAUGGGGUCAGCCCGGACCGAGGACCGCGCUUCGGCUUGGAUGCUGGCGUAAUGGUCGCAAGCGGCCCGUCUUGAAACACGG